Cytospora paraplurivora is the source of this 83-nucleotide non-coding RNA. The record is from the annotation of a GenBank genome assembly. NCBI's taxonomy places the organism in Eukaryota, Fungi, Ascomycota, Sordariomycetes, Diaporthales, Cytosporaceae.
GGGCAUGUGGUCUAGGGGUAUGAUAUUUGCUUCGCAUCCUUCGUGAUUGCAAAGGGUCCCCGGUUCAAUUCCGGGCAUGUCCA